UACAGAGGGUGCAAGCGUUAAUCGGAAUUACUGGGCGUAAAGCGCGUGUAGGCGGCUGGGCAAGUCGGGUGUGAAAGCCCUGGGCUUAACCUAGGAAGUGCAUUCGAAACUGCCGAGCUGGAGUUCUGGAGAGGAAGGCGGAAUUCUCGGUGUAGAGGUGAAAUUCGUAGAUAUCGAGAGGAACACCGGUGGCGAAGGCGGCCUUCUGGACAGAAACUGACGCUGAGACGCGAAAGCGUGGGGAGCAAACAGG
This 253-nucleotide ribosomal RNA is filed under the name uncultured bacterium. RNAcentral describes it as "partial 16S ribosomal RNA". It matches the Rfam family "Bacterial small subunit ribosomal RNA", at positions 524 to 776 of the family's 1533-position model. The record is from RNAcentral.